This 459-nucleotide ribosomal RNA is filed under the name uncultured bacterium. RNAcentral describes it as "partial 16S ribosomal RNA". It matches the Rfam family "Bacterial small subunit ribosomal RNA", at positions 28 to 507 of the family's 1533-position model. The record is from RNAcentral.
GAUGAACGCUGGCGGCGCGCCUAACACAUGCAAGUCGAACGGCACCCCUCCUCGGAGGGAAGCGAGUGGCGAACGGCUGAGUAACACGUGGAGAACCUGCCCCCUCCCCCGGGAUAGCCGCCCGAAAGGACGGGUAAUACCGGAUACCCCGGGGUGCCGCAUGGCACCCCGGCUAAAGCCCCGACGGGAGGGGAUGGCUCCGCGGCCCAUCAGGUAGACGGCGGGGUGACGGCCCACCGUGCCGACAACGGGUAGCCGGGUUGAGAGACCGACCGGCCAGAUUGGGACUGAGACACGGCCCGGACUCCGACGGGAGGCAGCAGUGGGGAAUCUUGCGCAAUGGGGGGAACCCUGACGCAGCGACGCAGCGUGUGGGACGGAGGCCUUCGGGUCGUAAACCGCUUUCAGCAGGGAAGAGUCAAGACUGUACCUGCAGAAGAAGCCCCGGCUAACUACGUG